Eriocheir sinensis (Chinese mitten crab) is the source of this 1448-nucleotide long non-coding RNA. RefSeq lists it as uncharacterized. NCBI's taxonomy places the organism in Eukaryota, Metazoa, Arthropoda, Malacostraca, Decapoda, Varunidae. The record is from RefSeq and is a predicted model, not a curated record. The transcript has 2 exons.
AAAAAGUGAUAUAAGUGCUGGAUUUUUGGUUAACAUGACAUAUUGCAAACUCAGUCUUAAAAAGUGACGUGUGUUGGAUUUUUGGUUAACAUGACAUAUUGCAAACUCAGUCUUAAAAAGUGACGUGUGUUGGAUUUUUGGUUAACAUGACAUAUUGCAAACUCAGCCUUAAAAAGUGACGUGUGUUGGAUUUUUGGUUAACAUGACAUAUUGCAAACUCAGUCUUAAAAAGUGACGUGUGUUGGAUUUUUGGUUAACAUGACAUAUUGCAAACUCGGUCUUAAAAAGUGACGUAAGUGUCGGACUUUCACAGUUAAGUUCACAUCCUUUAAAACCAAGUCGGAAAAAAUUAUACAAAACAAAUCAACACAACCAGCUAACCACGCCUUGAAAAAUGGGCCAAAAAACGCAAACCAGCCACAGUGUUGAUGUAGACUAAUACGACGUUUAAAAAAUAAGGCGAUAGUGGGCUAGGUAAAGAGACAGGUAGGAAAGGGCAGGUGAGGUAGGGCCAGGCAUCAAUUAGGAGAGACUCAGGUAAGGUUAGGAUAGUUGGGUUACACUUAGGUUACAUAUAGUGAAGUGAGGUUAGGUUAGGUUGGGUUAGGUUAGGUUUGAUGAGGAUAGUGAGGUUAGAUAAGGUUAAGUUAGAUUGGGGUACAUUAGGUUACAUCUAGUUAGGUUGGGUUACAAUUAGGUUACAAAGAGUGAGGUUAGGUAAGGUUAGGUAGGUUAGGUUACAUACAGUGAGGUUAGGGUUUGGGUUAGUUAGGUUACAAAGAGUGAGGUUAGGUUAGACUGGGUUCCAUAUAGUUAGGUUAGAUGAGGUAUAGUGAGGUUAGGUUAGUUUGGGUUACAUAUAGUUAGGUUACAUAAGUUAAGAGUGAGGUUGGGUGAGGUUAGGUUAGGGGUAGGUAAGGUAGGAUAAGUAAGAUAAGAUGAGAUAAGAUACGGUAAGGUAAGGUAAGGUAAGUUUUGGUAAGGUUAGGGUAAACUGAGGAUAAUGAAGUCUGGAUUAGGUUAAGGAAAGGUAAAAAAGGAUGAAGAAAAGUCAGGUAUGGUUAGGUUAGUCUGAAAUUGGUUAUGGGUAGGUAAGGUAAGGUACGGUAAGGUAAGUUUAAGACAGAUUAAAAAUAGGAAAGUCUGGAUUAGGCAAGAUAUAAUGAAGAAAGGUAAGGUAUGAAGGUUAGUUUAAAAAUUGUUGAGCAGGUAAGGUAAGGUAAGGUAAGGUUAGGUUAGGAUAGAGAUAGGAAAGUCUGGAUUAGGUUAAGGAAAGGUAAGAUAGAAUGAAGAAAGGUUAAAUAAGGUUAGUGUGAAAUUCAUUGGGGAUAGGUUAGGUAAGGUUGUUAGGUAAGGAACAGUUAGGUAAAUUCAGGUUAGGUAGGGCAAGGUGUCAGUAUGAGGGAAGGAAAUAGAAUGAAAAAUAAACAAAACAAAACAAAGAAAAG